UACCGACAUUGACAACUAUUUUUCUACCAAAAUCUUUAUAGAUUACUGGCAUAUUCAGAUUGUUUUAAACGCGUUUGAUAGUUUUGUGACGGGAAAUAAUAUUUUAAAUCUACGUUAAAAAUAUAUCAUGAGGAUAAUCAAGGAUAUUCCAUAUAUAUAUAUAUAUAUAAGCCAUUCAGAUGUCGUACAUUAAAUAUACUGUAAAGAUUACACACGUGAAAGUCAUACGAUUUCGAUAGUAUAAAUCUCAAUAGUGAGUCCAACGUAAUAUUAAGCGGAUUUAAGGCGAACUUAGAUGCAUU
Non-coding RNA from Cinara cedri, 302 nucleotides. The record is from the annotation of a GenBank genome assembly. NCBI's taxonomy places the organism in Eukaryota, Metazoa, Arthropoda, Insecta, Hemiptera, Aphididae.